This 251-nucleotide ribosomal RNA is filed under the name uncultured prokaryote. RNAcentral's name for it is "partial 16S rRNA". It matches the Rfam family "Bacterial small subunit ribosomal RNA", at positions 525 to 775 of the family's 1533-position model. The record is from RNAcentral.
ACGUAGGGUGCUAGCGUUACUCGGAAUCAUUGGGCGUAAAGGGUGUGUAGGUGGAAUUGUAAGUCAGAUGUGAAAGCCUUGGGCUCACCCCAAGAAGUGCAUUUGAUACUGCUAUUCUAGAGUUCGGGAGAGGGAGGCAGAAUUCCAGGUGUAGAGGUGAAAUCCGUAGAUAUCUGGAGGAAUACCGGAGGCGAAGGCGGCCUCCUGGACCGACACUGACACUGAGACACGAAAGCGUGGGUAGCAAACAG